AGUGAACGCUGGCGGUAGGCCUAACACAUGCAAGUCGAACGGCAGCACAGUAAGAGCUUGCUAUUACGGGUGGCGAGUGGCGGACGGGUGAGGAAUACAUCGGAAUCUACUUUUUCGUGGGGGAUAACGUAGGGAAACUUACGCUAAUACCGCAUACGACCUACGGGUGAAAGCAGGGGAUCUUCGGACCUUGCGCGAUUGAAUGAGCCGAUGUCGGAUUAGCUAGUUGGCGGGGUAAAGGCCCACCAAGGCGACGAUCCGUAGCUGGUCUGAGAGGAUGAUCCGGCACACUGGAACUGAGCCACGGUCCGGACUCCUACGGGAGGCAGCGGUGGGAAAUAUUGGACAAUGGGCGCAGGCCGGAUGCAGCCAUACCGCGUGGGUGAAGAAGGCCUUCGGGUUGUAAAGCCCUUUUGUUGGGAAAGAAAAGCAGCAGGUUAAUACCCCGCUGUUCUGACGGUACCCAAAGAAUAAGCACCGGCUAACUUCGUG
RNAcentral lists this ribosomal RNA (492 nucleotides) under uncultured bacterium. RNAcentral describes it as "partial 16S ribosomal RNA". It matches the Rfam family "Bacterial small subunit ribosomal RNA", at positions 29 to 507 of the family's 1533-position model. The record is from RNAcentral.